UACGAGGGGGGCGAGCGUUGUCCGGAAUUAUUGGGCGUAAAGAGCUCGUAGGCGGUCUGUCGCGUCUGCUGUGAAAUCCCGAGGCUCAACCUCGGGCUUGCAGUGGGUACGGGCAGGCUAGAGUGCGGUAGGGGAGAUUGGAAUUCCUGGUGUAGCGGUGGAAUGCGCAGAUAUCAGGAGGAACACCGAUGGCGAAGGCAGAUCUCUGGGCCGUAACUGACGCUGAGGAGCGAAAGCGUGGGGAGCGAACAGG
This 253-nucleotide ribosomal RNA is filed under the name uncultured bacterium. Its description in RNAcentral is "partial 16S ribosomal RNA". It matches the Rfam family "Bacterial small subunit ribosomal RNA", at positions 524 to 776 of the family's 1533-position model. The record is from RNAcentral.